This 145-nucleotide non-coding RNA is filed under the name Brevibacillus massiliensis. RNAcentral describes it as "glmS glucosamine-6-phosphate activated ribozyme". It matches the Rfam family "glmS glucosamine-6-phosphate activated ribozyme aptamer", at positions 10 to 149 of the family's 167-position model. Rfam says of the family: This entry contains a glucosamine-6-phosphate activated ribozyme that is found in the mRNA for GlmS. The record is from RNAcentral. Lineage: Bacteria; Bacillati; Bacillota; Bacilli; Caryophanales; Paenibacillaceae.
CAAAGCGCCAGAACUGCGGCUGCCUGGCAUGGAGCGCAGUUGACGAGGUGGAGGUUUAUCGAAGGGUUCGGCGGAUGCCUCCCGGUAGCUCGUAUCUCUACCGCAAGUACAGGGACAAAACGUUGGGGCAACUCAACGCACAAUA